Molecule: ribosomal RNA, 468 nt
Filed under: uncultured bacterium
Lineage: Bacteria
Description: partial 16S ribosomal RNA
Rfam family: Bacterial small subunit ribosomal RNA
Source: RNAcentral
GACGAACGCUGGCGGCGUGCUUAACACAUGCCAGUCGAACGGAAAGGCCCUGCUUUUGUGGGGUGCUCGCGUGGCGAACGGGUGAGUAACACGUGAGUAACCUGCCCUUGACUUUGGGAUAACUUCAGGAAACUGGGGCUAAUACCGGAUAGGAGCUCCUGCUGCAUGGGGGGGGUUGGAACGUUUCGGCGGUUGGGGAUGGACUCGCGGCUUAUCAGCUUGUUGGUGGGGUAGUGGCUUACCAAGGCUUUGACGGGUAGCCGGCCUGAGAGGGUGACCGGCCACAUUGGGACUGAGGUACGGCCCAGACUCCUACGGGAGGCAGCAGUGGGGAAUAUGGCACAAUGGGGGGAAGCCUGAUGCAGCGACGCUGCGUGCGGGAUGACGGCCUUCGGGUUGUAAACCGCUUUCGGCUGUGACGAAGCGUGAGUGACGGUAAUGGGUAAAGAAGCACCGGCUAACUACGUG